GAUCCUGGCUCAGGAUGAACGCUGGCGGCGUGCCUAAUACAUGCAAGUCGAACGCUUUGUGAUUCAACUGAUUUGAAGAGCUUACUCAGAUAUGACGAUGGACAUUGCAAAGAGUGGCGAACGGGUGAGUAACACGUGGGAAACUUACCUCUUAGCAGGGGAUAACAUUUGGAAACAGAUGCUAAUACCGUAUAACAAUGACAACCGCAUGGUUGUUAUUUAAAAGAUGGUUCUG
This 235-nucleotide ribosomal RNA is filed under the name uncultured bacterium. RNAcentral describes it as "partial 16S ribosomal RNA". It matches the Rfam family "Bacterial small subunit ribosomal RNA", at positions 15 to 217 of the family's 1533-position model. The record is from RNAcentral.